UAGGGAAUCUUCCACAAUGGACGAAAGUCCGAUGGAGCAACGCCGCGUGAGUGAAGAAGGGUUUCGGCUCGUAAAAACUCUGUUGUUAAAGAAGAACAUAUCUGAGAGUAACUGUUCAGGUAUUGACGGUAUUUAACCAGAAAGCCACGGCUAACUACGUGCCAC
This 165-nucleotide ribosomal RNA is filed under the name uncultured bacterium. RNAcentral describes it as "partial 16S rRNA". It matches the Rfam family "Bacterial small subunit ribosomal RNA", at positions 355 to 511 of the family's 1533-position model. The record is from RNAcentral.